NNUAGCAUGGCCUCUGCGCAAGGAUGACACGCAAAUUCGUGAAGCUGUUCCAUAUUUU
RNAcentral lists this small nuclear RNA (58 nucleotides) under Erinaceus europaeus (western European hedgehog). The record is from RNAcentral. Lineage: Eukaryota; Metazoa; Chordata; Mammalia; Eulipotyphla; Erinaceidae.